Molecule: unclassified non-coding RNA, 284 nt
Filed under: Bombus terrestris (buff-tailed bumblebee)
Lineage: Eukaryota; Metazoa; Arthropoda; Insecta; Hymenoptera; Apidae
Description: misc RNA ENSBTSG00005029756.1
Source: RNAcentral
UUCUUUUUCGUAGUUGCUGCUGUUAAUGCCACAUACUGUACGAAUAGAACGAUCGUCGAAUAUCGCGAGUCACUCAUAUUAUACGGAAAUAAUACGCGUCGUGAAACGUGUAAAUUGCUGGCUGUUUGGCGGCUAUGAAGUGUAUGGAAUACACGUUGGCGACCAGUCGCAGGGGCAAGCUGUAGAUGUAUUCCUUGUGCCUUGAAGCUUGCUUCGACCAAGUGGAGAACAAGCAAAAGAAAAAAGAGAAGAUAGAUAGAGAAAGAGAGAGAGGAUGGCUCACG